GCAGGAGAGAGGCCCCAGACUGGAAGGUGAAUGCUAGAUGGCCAGCGUGAUAUGGCGACCCAGUCCUGACCUCAUGGAACGGCAACAGUAGGAGACAAUGCGUGUGAUUGGCAGCAGGGCAGAGGUUUACCUCUGCCUGCAUUUGUGAGUAGGGUCUCUACUGUUGUUUACUGGGUGCAGCUGGGUUGGGAGAGGGUCGCCAUGGCCAUGAUCCAGGGCCGCUUCUGGGACCAUUGUUCUGGCCCCUAUUUGUUUUUUUACAGGACACCGACGCAAGGGGAGCUGUGGCAGUGGUCGCAUGAUGGAUUCGGGUGCUGAACGCAAGCUGGGCUGGGAUCUGAUGGGCCAGUGGAAGGACAAGAAGAUGGAGGCUCUUCCUUGUCUGCCGAAGACGAGGCUGGCAUGGACUCUGCUUUAAAAGGAAUUGUGUUGCCAAUGGCAUUAACCGCAUAUACAAAGGCGACCAGUGAACCUCUCUCUGCUGAUGUCGUUGCCCCAACUUGUUUAAUAUAAGUUAAAGUAAUAGUGUGAGAAAGCAGAUGGAUUAUACCAACCUCACACUUUUUAUCUUUAUAUGGAUUUUUGUUCCAUCCUGAUGAUCAGAAGAGUGUUUGAGGAUUUAACAGAUUUCUUGAGAACAACAUGGACGUUAACCCUGUAAAUCCUGAACCAUGAAAUCAUUGCUCGAUAAUUCAAACUUUAUUGGUCCAACGCAUCAAACGUCACUCCAACGUCACGUCCGUACGAGACGUUGCAUCCUGUAAGUGUGGAGUUUGACCGAGCGGCUGAACGACAGAUCGGUUCUAACAGUCAGUGACUUUCAGCUUUAUUUAAACCUUAAAUUUAAUCUUGUGUCGUCAGAUUUAAACUCAGGUUCAGUUACUGAGUGAAAAUACCAACAGACUCAGAGAUUUAGGACAAACUAAGAGUCAGAUCAGCAGAAACAGAGAACACGGACAUGUCUGCUGUAACUGCGUCACUCUGCUCCACUUUGCUGAUGUUUGAUGGAGUCUUCAUGUUUGUCUCUGCAGAUUUUCCACCCUGAUGACCACAGAGGCCUUUGAGGGUCCCAGAUGUCCUUCAGAACAACAACCAGGAAAUCAUCACAGCUGAGUCUGGACAGAACGUCACUCUGACAUGUCGAGCUUCAAACAACAUUAUAGCAGUAAACUGGAGCCGAGCUGACCUGGGAACAAAAUAUGUCCUUUUUUACCGGGAUGAGCGUUUUUUUCCAGACGACCAGCAUCCAUCUUUUAAGAACCGGGUGGAUCUGCAGGACAGACAGAUGAAGGAUGGAGACGUGUCUUUGAUUCUGAAGGAUGUGACGAUUAAUGACACUGGAACAUACGAGUGUCGUGUUGCCCAAAAAGAACCAAACCAAGAGAGACCCAGUUUGAAGCUCAUCAGCAGCAUCCACCUUCAUGUUGAUCCUCCAGGUCAGACAGGAGGAGCUGUUGGACUGAUUGUUGGUCUGUCAGUUUCUGCUGUGCUUCUUGUUGCUGCUGUUGCUGGAUUUUUGAUCUACAGAAAACAUAAACAACCGUAGAGUCAGGAUUCAUACCAGCCUCCUGUUGAACUGCAGCCUGUUUGAAAUGUGAGUUCUUUACAGCUGAACUCCUGGAGUCUGAGUCUCCUGAUGAGCCAGACUUCAUUUAGUGUUAUUAAACAUUCAGAAGAUGAUCUGAGGACAGACAUCAGUCAGCUGUCGGUAAUUUGAAUUUACUGUUUUUGUUUGUUUGUGUGCAUCAGUAUUAGUUAUUAGUUUGUUUUAGUUUCCAGGUUAGUCGCUCAUCUCAGUGGGAGAGUUUAUGUUCUUAAACAGUGUUAUUUACACUUUUGCCUUAUUUCUAUGUGGAACAUUCAGGACUUCAUCAUUCAAACAAACAAAAGUUGCAAAUCUAAGAAUAACAUCAGUGAUAUUCAACAAAAAAAAACCCCAUUUAGUUUCAUUUUACAAACAUCUUCUCUGUCAGUCUCAGUUUGUUCACAGUGAUGAGUUCAGCGUUGUCUCUGUCACAAUAUCAGAAUCAGUGAGUUUGUUCCAUCUUCAGGUUCAGCUGUUUGUAAGGUCAGACUCACAGACUGAUCCUCAUGUUUAGAUGUUACACAAUAAUUACAGACACUGACUGACAACACAAACACAACACAGAGAGCUCAGGGUCCAUUUAUCAGCUAGAACUGAGUGACUGAAUAAUCUGAUAUUAUUAUGAAACCAAAGAGAAAUGUGUUACAUGGAGCUGCAGAGUCACAUGUUUCCUCCUCUGAUCUAUGAAGCCUUAACUUGUUCCUCCAUGAAGGAGACUCUUCAGUUUAAACACGUCACGAUUAUUUAUUAUUUAAUUUUUAUAUCAAUUUGUUUAUCGAUAAAGUUUAAACGUGUUACUCUUGAAUGUUUUUGUUUUCUUCCUGUAGCUGUAAACAUUUCCUGACCUCCUGUUUAAAUGUGUGCAGAUUUGAUCUUGAAUGUAACAGUGUGAACAUUUAUAUACUUAACUUGACAUUAUUACAACCUGUGAUCUGUGGAAGCUCAGUAUCACCUCCUCUCAGAGGUAGGAGAUAAAUGAUGUUUGUGUAUGAGGUGUGUUACAGAGCACAACACUGUACACAGUUUUUCUGUGUUAACAUCUUUGUGCCUAAUUUAUGGAACAAGCAUGUUAAAUGUUAAUGAGAAGAGCUACAAGUUGAUUUGUACUUUGAAAUGAUCAAACAUUCAUAUUUCAGCUUCUGUGCUACUAAAACCUGCUGUUAUUUUGCUGUUAAUGUAUCCUGUUCAUAUGCACAUAAUAAACAUAAUCUCUGAAUGAUAAA
Molecule: RNA transcript, 2808 nt
Organism: Oreochromis niloticus (Nile tilapia)
Lineage: Eukaryota; Metazoa; Chordata; Actinopteri; Cichliformes; Cichlidae
Gene name: coxsackievirus and adenovirus receptor
Exons: 6
Source: RefSeq, a predicted model, not a curated record